UUGUUAAAAAGCUCGUAGUUGGAUCAAGAGUUGGACAGUGCACGGUGGCCCUAUUUGUCUGUUUGGCUCCGGUCAGAUAGGCGGUAGCGGAACAACCCCGUGCGCCAAGCUGUCCACUCUAACAGACCGAAACGGUUCCCUGUGAGUAGGUUCCUUAAUUGGGACUGAAAGCGCCUACGCAUCAACCAUAUGCAUACGGGACGUCGGUCAAUGUUACUGUGAACAAACCAGCGUGUCCAAAGCAGGCUACCGCCUGAAUGUUCGAGCAUGGAAUAACAAGGGAUCGAUUCUCUCGGUUCUUUUUGUUGGUUUUUAACCCGAGAAGGAGUAAUUCAGGCCACGGUGUCUGAGUUGGGUUUCCCUGGGCUUCGGCUUAGGCCCCAAUUAGGCCGUGUCCUUACGGGAUCAAUAGGGACUGACGGGGUCGUACCUACUUCCGCGUCAGAGGUGAAAUUCUUAGAUCGCGGGAAGGGGAACUUCUGCGAAAGCAUUCGACAAGAAUGUCUUCAUUAAUCAAGAACGAGAGUGUGGGGAUCGAAGAUGAUCAGAUACCGUCGUAGUCCACUACUGUAAACUAUGCCGUCUCAGGAUUGAGAAGUGAACAGAAUGACUUUCACAGCACUA
RNAcentral lists this ribosomal RNA (624 nucleotides) under uncultured marine eukaryote. RNAcentral describes it as "bacterial SSU rRNA". It matches the Rfam family "Eukaryotic small subunit ribosomal RNA", at positions 618 to 1088 of the family's 1831-position model. The record is from RNAcentral.